CUGUUAGGCAGGUACGAAUGUUGGUUAUGUGGCUCGACUCGCACGCAACCUAUGCACGUACGCAACUAUAGCCUAUGCAGCAUAUCAAUUUCUAAUAUUUUGAAUGCUUUGUUUUAAGACCUGAACAUGAGGUUAUUGCACUGCAAUUCAAACGGAUUUUGUUCAGAGUUUUACAAUCGAAAGUUUGGAUUAGCCUUCUUCCACAGUUUUUUACAUUGAGAUUAUAAUCGUAGGAGAGGGUGUCGGGAUGCGCUUUUCGCCAGGUCUGCCAUGUUUUUGUGCUCUGUCUCCUAUCUGGAGCUAAACUUUUUAAGAAAGCAAUGCACUCAUUUUAUGCUACAUAGUUUGUACUACAUAUUUCUGUUUGGUUGUCCAAGUAGUAUAUUGAGCCUUAAGUAGCACCACAAGAUAAUUGUCAUUACCCUCUAGCAAUUGAAAUGGUUUUGUUUUACUCGCGUUGUUUCUUUAUAUAUUUUCUAAUGAUUUAACAUGACCUUUUUCCUCUGUAUUGUCAUCAUAAUUUCUAUUUCAUAUUUUAUUCCUGCAAUUUAUGUUAUCUUCACUUAGGACACUUCCUUAUGCAUAUGGUCAACGAAAUGUUCCUUCAGAGGUCAUCAGACCCUUGGGGCGCUAUUUGUUGUGUUUUUUUUGCUCUUAGGCCAUGUCGAUCCUAUUUUCAUUCCCCUGCUAUGUGCUAUGAAAAUAUGUGUUCGGGCCUCACGCCAUUUUUCUCUUAGUGAGCUGUUGCAUCUUCUAUUUUGCUGCUUCGUUCCUAUUUGCUACUUCGGUGCUUUUUCCCUAGCCAAAGCCAGGGAUUUACUUUGUAGCUGAACUUAAGUUCAUCAAAUAACGAGGCCAUUAUACAUUUUAAUUUACACUACGGUCAUAGUGAUGUUAAACUCAUGUCUUCCAAAGGACGGGCCGUUGACCUUGAGAUGAUUUCAGUUUUUUUAUUGCAAGUUCAGAUAUAUAUUUUUUUGCAAUGAUUUUCUUUUAAAGAAUUAAUUAGAAAAUUAUUUGCUUAUUUUAUUUUCAGUAGUGUUUACAACUUCAUACUUAUAUUGCUGUUGCUAUUUUUUUUACGCAGAGCAUCGGCCUGAAAAUUAGGCCUUUAUCUCCCAUCUACUCUUAGAUAGAGAUAGAGAAAGACCAUUCGCAGAGUUGCACUUACCUUUUUAUGAUGCCCAAAUUUAUGCUUAGAAAGGUAACACUUUUUUAUUGGGUGGUAUUAGUAUAUAAUGUAACCGAAUGGUCCUUCUCUAUCUAAGCUUUGAUGUGCUUUUUCAAACUUGGCGAGUACAUUAGAAAAGGAAAUAUCUACUAGGGUUAUUUCAGUUAAAAUGGUUACAGAGAAUAAGAGAAAGUAUAUAUUACAUAUGCCUAUAUAUUUUCUUAUUUCUUUUUAGAACCGUUGACUAGAAAGUGGAUAUGUUCACUGCUUAUUUCUCUAGACAUUUGAGUUCACUUUAUCAUUUGGUUGGUCUACGUGGUACUCAGAACUUAAGCCUAUCUACCAUGAAUAUGUUUCUUGAUG
Lolium perenne is the source of this 1534-nucleotide non-coding RNA. NCBI's taxonomy places the organism in Eukaryota, Viridiplantae, Streptophyta, Magnoliopsida, Poales, Poaceae. The record is from RefSeq and is a predicted model, not a curated record.